GAAAUAUUUUAUAAUUAAGCUGCUAACUUAAUUUUUAGUGAAUUAAAUCAUUAAUAUUUCUU
Molecule: transfer RNA, 62 nt
Filed under: Abrota ganga
Lineage: Eukaryota; Metazoa; Arthropoda; Insecta; Lepidoptera; Nymphalidae
Description: tRNA-Ser
Source: RNAcentral